GAUGAACGCUGGCGGCGUGCUUAACACAUGCAAGUCGAACGGUAAGGCCCUGCUUUUGUGGGGUGCUCGAGUGGCGAACGGGUGAGUAACACGUGAGUAACCUGCCCUUGACUUUGGGAUAACUUCUGGAAACUGGGGCUAAUACCGGAUAGGAGCUCCUACUGCAUGGUGGGGGUUGGAAAGUUUCGGCGGUCGGGGAUGGACUCGCGGCCUAUCAGCUUGUUGGUGGGGUAGUGGCUUACCAAGGCUUCGACGGGUAGCCGGCCUGAGAGGGUGACCGGCCACAGUGGGACUGAGAUACGGCCCAGACUCCUACGGGAGGCAGCAGUGGGGAAUAUUGCACAAUGGGCGGAAGCCUGAUGCAGCAACGCCGCGUGCGGGAUGACGGCCUUCGGGUUGUAAACCGCUUUCGCCUGUGACGAAGCGAGAGUGACGGUAAUUGGUAAAGAAGCACCGGCUAACUACGUG
Molecule: ribosomal RNA, 468 nt
Filed under: uncultured bacterium
Lineage: Bacteria
Description: partial 16S ribosomal RNA
Rfam family: Bacterial small subunit ribosomal RNA
Source: RNAcentral